RNAcentral lists this ribosomal RNA (1572 nucleotides) under Nannocoris sp. 1 AK-2020. Its description in RNAcentral is "partial large subunit ribosomal RNA". It matches the Rfam family "Eukaryotic large subunit ribosomal RNA", at positions 279 to 1599 of the family's 3401-position model. Lineage: Eukaryota; Metazoa; Arthropoda; Insecta; Hemiptera; Schizopteridae. The record is from RNAcentral.
AGUGCAACCUUAAGUAGGUGGUAAGUUCCAUCUAAGGCUAAAUAUAACCACGAGACCGAUAGUAAACAAGUACCGUGAGGGAAAGUUGAAAAGAACUUUGAAGAGAGAGUUAAAAAGUACGUGAAACCGUUUAGGGGUAAACGGAAAAGAACUGAAAAUCCGAAAAGGGAGAUUCACGUCUUCUCGUUUGUCUAAUAUAGUUAAUUGUAUGAUAACUAAAUGGCCUGUACAUUUUGUAUUAGUGCUACUAGUUGCUUACUAGACUAUAUUAGCAACGGUGGACCGCACUUCUCUCUUAGUAGGACGUCGCGACCUGCUAACUUAUAAUUUAAGAUCAAAUCUAUUAAAAGUUUUAUUAUAAUAAGAAUUUAAUUUUUAUUUAUAAUAAAAUGGUUUGUUUCUAAUUAAAUAGUUGGCAGUAUAAAACGACAGUGUCGAGCUGCUUAUAUUAAGCGUUUAACAAAUGAUAAAUUUUUUUAUUAUAAUUAAAUAUGGAUUUUAAUCUAUAUAAAUUAUUUAAAAUCAUUAUUAUUUUGUUUAAACAAGGCUUACAACACUAGUUGAAACAUCCAAGGAGUCUAACAUGUGCGCAAGUCAUUGGGUAAUAAAACCUAAAGGCGAAACAAAAGUAAAGAAAAGCUUUGCUUUUUAAGGGAAGAUGGUUAAAAUAUAUUUUAGCCCGCACUCCCGGGGCGUUAAUUACUCAUUGCGAGUAAAGGCGCACCUAGAGCGUACAUGUUGGGUCCCGAAAGAUGGUGAACUAUACCUGACCAGGAUGAAGCCAGGGGAAACCCUGGUGGAGGUCCGUAGCGAUUCUGACGUGCAAAUCGAUCGUCAGAGUUAGGUAUAGGGGCGAAAGACUAAUCGAACCAUCUAGUAGCUGGUUCCCUCCGAAGUUUCCCUCAGGAUAGCUGGUGCCGAUGAUGAUCAGAGUCUCAUCUGGUAAAGCGAAUGAUUAGAGGCCUUGGGGUUGAAACGACCUCAACCUAUUCUCAAACUUUAAAUGGAUGAGAGCCUUGGCUUUCUUAAAAAUGAAGCCAAGGAUUUGGAUCUAAGGUGCCAAGUGGGCCAAUUUUGGUAAUGUGGGAUGAACCAAACGUAAAGUUAAGGCGCCCGAAUCAACGCUCAUGAGACACCAUAAAAGGCGUUGGUUGCUUAAGACAGCAGGACGGUGGCCAUGGAAGUCGGAAUCCGCUAAGGAGUGUGUAACAACUCACCUGCCGAAGCAACUAGCCCUGAAAAUGGAUGGCGCUGUAGCGUUGUGCCUAUACUUUGCCGUCAACGGCAAAUAAAAUCUUUAAUACUAAGAAUUUUAUUAAGCCUUGAUGAGUAGGAGGGUCGCAGCGAUGAGCGUGGAAGGGUCUGGGCGUAAGCCUGCCUGGAGCCGUCGCUGGUGCAGAUCUUGGUGGUAGUAGCAAAUACUCCAGCGAGGCCCUGGAGGACUGUUGUGGAAGAAGGGUUUCUUGUGAACAGCUGUUGCACAAGAGUCAGUCGAUCCUAAGCUCUAGGAGAAAUCCGAUGUUGAUGGAUGCCAUAAGUUAAAUAAAAUUUGUGUGCAUACAUCGAGCGAAA